CCUGCCUCUAAAGGAGUUGCAGUUGUGGCUGCUGUGUCACAUGUGUGUCAGUAUUUGCCAAAGAAGAGAUAAGCUAUAUCUAAGUUCAGUGUUCUGACCUACAGACACCUGAAUGAUUAGUAGCCUAACAUU
Molecule: small nucleolar RNA, 132 nt
Organism: Meriones unguiculatus (Mongolian gerbil)
Lineage: Eukaryota; Metazoa; Chordata; Mammalia; Rodentia; Muridae
Source: Ensembl